This 479-nucleotide ribosomal RNA is filed under the name uncultured soil bacterium. RNAcentral's name for it is "SSU rRNA". It matches the Rfam family "Bacterial small subunit ribosomal RNA", at positions 1030 to 1533 of the family's 1533-position model. The record is from RNAcentral.
UUGUCCAGGUGUUGCAUGGCUGUUCCCCCCUCGUGCCGUGAGGUGUUAGGUUAAGUCCUACAUCGAACGCAACCCCUGCACUUAGUUGCCAUCAGGUAAUGCUGGGCACUCUAAGUGGACUGCCUACGCAAGUAGUGAGGAAGGCGGGGAUGACGUCAAGUCCUCAUGGCCCUUACACCCAGGGCCACACACGUGCUACAAUGGUUGGUACAAAGGGCUGCUAAGCCGCAAGGUGGAGCCAAUCCCAAAAAACCAACCUCAGUUCGGAUUGGGGUCUGCAACUCGACCCCAUGAAGCUGGAAUUGCUAGUAAUCGCGGAUCAGCACGCCGCGGUGAAUACGUUCCCGGGCCUUGUACACACCGCCCGUCAAGCCAUGGAAACUGGGGGUACCCGCAUCCUAAUAUAUAACCGCAAGGAGACAGGCGUCUAAGUUUAACCAGCCCCCUAGAACGAUAAAAAGCGUAAUGAAGUCCUGCAG